Molecule: ribosomal RNA, 1576 nt
Filed under: Salmonella enterica subsp. enterica serovar Ohio
Lineage: Bacteria; Pseudomonadati; Pseudomonadota; Gammaproteobacteria; Enterobacterales; Enterobacteriaceae
Description: bacterial LSU rRNA
Rfam family: Bacterial large subunit ribosomal RNA
Source: RNAcentral
AAGGUGGCCUGUGAGGGUUGCUGGAGGUAUCAGAAGUGCGAAUGCUGACAUAAGUAACGAUAAAGCGGGUGAAAAGCCCGCUCGCCGGAAGACCAAGGGUUCCUGUCCAACGUUAAUCGGGGCAGGGUGAGUCGACCCCUAAGGCGAGGCCGAAAGGCGUAGUCGAUGGGAAACGGGUUAAUAUUCCCGUACUUGGUGUUACUGCGAAGGGGGGACGGAGAAGGCUAUGUUGGCCGGGCGACGGUUGUCCCGGUUUAAGCGUGUAGGUGUGUGUUCCAGGUAAAUCCGGUUCACUUUAACACUGAGGCGUGAUGACGAGGCACUACGGUGCUGAAGCAACAAAUGCCCUGCUUCCAGGAAAAGCCUCUAAGCAUCAGGUAACAUCAAAUCGUACCCCAAACCGACACAGGUGGUCAGGUAGAGAAUACCAAGGCGCUUGAGAGAACUCGGGUGAAGGAACUAGGCAAAAUGGUGCCGUAACUUCGGGAGAAGGCACGCUGACACGUAGGUGAAGUGAUUUACUCAUGGAGCUGAAGUCAGUCGAAGAUACCAGCUGGCUGCAACUGUUUAUUAAAAACACAGCACUGUGCAAACACGAAAGUGGACGUAUACGGUGUGACGCCUGCCCGGUGCCGGAAGGUUAAUUGAUGGGGUCAGCGCAAGCGAAGCUCCUGAUCGAAGCCCCGGUAAACGGCGGCCGUAACUAUAACGGUCCUAAGGUAGCGAAAUUCCUUGUCGGGUAAGUUCCGACCUGCACGAAUGGCGUAAUGAUGGCCAGGCUGUCUCCACCCGAGACUCAGUGAAAUUGAACUCGCUGUGAAGAUGCAGUGUACCCGCGGCAAGACGGAAAGACCCCGUGAACCUUUACUAUAGCUUGACACUGAACAUUGAGCCUUGAUGUGUAGGAUAGGUGGGAGGCUUUGAAGUGUGGACGCCAGUCUGCAUGGAGCCGACCUUGAAAUACCACCCUUUAAUGUUUGAUGUUCUAACGUGGACCCGUUAUCCGGGUUGCGGACAGUGUCUGGUGGGUAGUUUGACUGGGGCGGUCUCCUCCUAAAGAGUAACGGAGGAGCACGAAGGUUGGCUAAUCCUGGUCGGACAUCAGGAGGUUAGUGCAAUGGCAUAAGCCAGCUUGACUGCGAGCGUGACGGCGCGAGCAGGUGCGAAAGCAGGUCAUAGUGAUCCGGUGGUUCUGAAUGGAAGGGCCAUCGCUCAACGGAUAAAAGGUACUCCGGGGAUAACAGGCUGAUACCGCCCAAGAGUUCAUAUCGACGGCGGUGUUUGGCACCUCGAUGUCGGCUCAUCACAUCCUGGGGCUGAAGUAGGUCCCAAGGGUAUGGCUGUUCGCCAUUUAAAGUGGUACGCGAGCUGGGUUUAGAACGUCGUGAGACAGUUCGGUCCCUAUCUGCCGUGGGCGCUGGAGAACUGAGGGGGGCUGCUCCUAGUACGAGAGGACCGGAGUGGACGCAUCACUGGUGUUCGGGUUGUCAUGCCAAUGGCACUGCCCGGUAGCUAAAUGCGGAAGAGAUAAGUGCUGAAAGCAUCUAAGCACGAAACUUGCCCCGAGAUGAGUUCU